CCUACGGGUGGCAGCAGUGGGGAAUAUUGCAUAAUGGGGGAAACCCUGAUGCAGCGACGCCGCGUGAGUGAAGAAGUAUUUCGGUAUGUAAAGCUCUAUCAGCAGGAACGAGACAAGACGGUACCUGACUAAGAAGCCCCGGCUAACUACGUGCCAGCAGCCGCGGUAAUACGUAGGGGGCAAGCGUUAUCCGGAAUCACUGGGUGUAAAGGGAGCGUAGACGGCUGUGCAAGCCUGAAGUGAAAGGCGGGGGCCCAACCCCUGGACUGCUUUGGGAACUGUACGGCUGGAGUGCAGGAGAGGUAAGUGGAAUGCCUAGUGUAGCGGUGAAAUGCGUAGAUAUUAGGAGGAACACCAGUGGCGAAGGCGGCCUGCUGGGCUUUAACUGACGCUGAGGCUCGAAAGCGUGGGGAGCAAACAGGAUUAGAUACCCGAGUAGUC
RNAcentral lists this ribosomal RNA (441 nucleotides) under uncultured bacterium. RNAcentral's name for it is "partial 16S ribosomal RNA". It matches the Rfam family "Bacterial small subunit ribosomal RNA", at positions 338 to 795 of the family's 1533-position model. The record is from RNAcentral.